UACGGAGGAUGCGAGCGUUAUCCGGAUUUAUUGGGUUUAAAGGGUGCGCAGGCGGAGGUGCAAGUCAGUGGUCAAAUUGCGGGGCUCAACCCCGUACUGCCGUUGAAACUGAUGAUCUUGAGUGGGCGAGAAGUAUGCGGAAUGCGUGGUGUAGCGGUGAAAUGCAUAGAUAUCACGCAGAACUCCGAUUGCGAAGGCAGCAUACCGGCGCGCAACUGACGCUCAUGCACGAGAGCAUGGGUAGCGAACAGG
This 252-nucleotide ribosomal RNA is filed under the name uncultured Bacteroidales bacterium. RNAcentral describes it as "partial 16S ribosomal RNA". It matches the Rfam family "Bacterial small subunit ribosomal RNA", at positions 524 to 776 of the family's 1533-position model. Lineage: Bacteria; Pseudomonadati; Bacteroidota; Bacteroidia; Bacteroidales. The record is from RNAcentral.